GACGAACGCUGGCGGCGCGCUUAACACAUGCAAGUCGAGCGAAGCGGCGGACGGGUGAGUAACACGUGAGUAACCUGCCUUAGACAUUGGGAUAGCCUCGGGAAACCGGGAUUAAUACCAAAUGGUCUAAGAUGGACUCGCGUCCCAUUAGCUCGUUGGUGAGGUAACGGCCCAUCAAGGCGACGAUGGGUAGACGGGCUGAGAGGUUGAACGGCGACAUUGGAACUGAGAAACGGUCGAAAGUCUACGGGAGGGAGCAGUGUGGAAUAUUGCACAAUGGAGGGUACUCUGAGGCAGCGACGCCGCGUGAACGAAUUAGGCUUUCGAGUCGUAAAGUUCUUUUAUAUGUUAAGCGUUACCAUAAGAAAAAGCCCCGGCUAACUACGUGCCAGCAGCCGCGGUAAUUC
RNAcentral lists this ribosomal RNA (407 nucleotides) under uncultured bacterium. Its description in RNAcentral is "partial 16S ribosomal RNA". It matches the Rfam family "Bacterial small subunit ribosomal RNA", at positions 28 to 526 of the family's 1533-position model. The record is from RNAcentral.